This is a long non-coding RNA of Papaver somniferum (opium poppy), 415 nucleotides long. RefSeq lists it as uncharacterized. The record is from RefSeq and is a predicted model, not a curated record. NCBI's taxonomy places the organism in Eukaryota, Viridiplantae, Streptophyta, Magnoliopsida, Ranunculales, Papaveraceae. The transcript has 4 exons.
CAAUUGUUUUUUGUUUGAUCGAUUAUGAGUUACUUUUGAUGACAUAUUUCUAAUCUUGUUUUUCUGUGUGAUUUAUUAGGUUUUUUCGAAGGAGAACGAGUAGAGGAGAAACCCUAAAUUUAUCAGCAAGAAGAGAAGAAAUCCUAGCCUCUAUUUUGGAACCAAAGUGAGUUCUUCUUCGGUUUUCUUGGUGAAGUCAAUCUUUCAACUCAGCAAGCAGAAGUUUUAAGGAUCAACAAACUUUAAAAUGGAGGAAAACUAUGGAGCUAAGGUGGGGGGCAUGUGUGGACUGCAGAACAUUGGGAGAACGAAAGACAAAGAAUGACGUAACUCGGUAAUGGAAGGAGCUAUCUUUGCUUCUAUUCCAACAACAUUAUUUUGUAUGGCUUAUAUUGCUUGUUCGUUGCUUACAUGG